Long non-coding RNA from Ctenocephalides felis (cat flea), 1047 nucleotides. RefSeq lists it as uncharacterized. The record is from RefSeq and is a predicted model, not a curated record. NCBI's taxonomy places the organism in Eukaryota, Metazoa, Arthropoda, Insecta, Siphonaptera, Pulicidae. The transcript is spliced from 10 exons.
UACAGGGAUGUUAUCAAAAAUGAUUUGAGGAUGGCAUUUGUGAACAUCAGGUGAUUUUGUGCAGUUAUCUGAAUCAGGUAUGUUAUCAGAAAUGAUUUGUGGAUGGCAUUUGUGAAUGUCAGAUGAUUUUGUGCAGUUAUCUGAAUCAGUGAUGUUAUCAGAAAAUAUUAUAGGAUUGCAUUUUUUAACGUCAGCUGGUGCAGUUAUGAAUAUCUUCAUCAGUGAUAUUAUCAGAAACGAUUGGAGGCUUGAUGAUUGUAAGCGAGUGAUUUUGUUUACUUAAGUGAAGAAAUAUGUAAAUAUAAGAUGAGGAAGAAGACGAGUGUGAUGCAUAAUGUUCUUAAUACUUAAAUAAGCGAGGUGAAAUGAAAAAUCAAAGACUAUAUUAUAUCUCAGCCAGUGUGAGAUGAAACGUUUGUAAUCUAUCAUCGAAGGCAAUUUAACAGCAAAAACUGCAAAAAAUCUAGCAAAGUGAUAUUAUCAGAAACGAUUGGAGGCUUGAUGAUUGUCAGCGAGUGAUUUUGUUUACUUAAGUGAAGAAAUAUGUAAACAUAAGAUGAGGAAGAAGACUAGGAUGAUGCAUAAUGUUCUUAAUACUUCAAUAAGAAGAUGAAAAGAAAAGUGUGUGAUAAAACGUUUGUAAGCUAUCAUCAAAGGCAAUUUAACAGCAAAAACUACAAAAAAUCUGGGAAAGUGCUGUUAUCAAAAAAGAUUAGAGGAUUUAUGAUUGUCAGCGAGUGAUUUUCUUUACUUAAGUGAAGAAGUAUGUAAAUAUAAGAUGAGGAAGAAGACUAUGAAGAAGAUGAGUAUGAUGCAUAAUGUUCUUAAUUUUUAAAUAAGCGAGAUGAAAAGAAAAAUCAAAGACUAUAAUGUAUCUCAGUCAGUGUGUGAUGAAACAUUUGUAAGCUAUCAUCAAAGGCAAUUUAACAGCAAAAACUACAAAAAAUCUAGCAAAGUGCUGUUGUUAGAAUAGAUUUGAAGAUUGCUUUUGUGAAUGUCAGCAAGUGAUAUUGCUUAGUGAACUGAAGAAAGUAUGUAAAUAACAGG